CUACGGGCCGCUCCAGGCGCGAAACCUUUACAAUGCACGAAAGUGUGAUAAGGGAACCCAAAGUGCUCAUACACAGUAUGGGCUUUUGUCAAGAGUAAAUAUCUUGGAGAAUAAGUGGUGGGAAAGACUGGUGCCAGCCGCCGCGGUAAUACCAGCGCCACAAGUGGGAAUCAGCCUUAUUUGGCCUAAAGCGUCCGUAGCUGGUUUAAUAAAUCUUUUGUGAAAUCGUUAGGCUUAACCUAACGGCAUGCAGAAGACACUGUUAAACUUGGAACCGGGAGAAGUUAGGAGUAUUUUGAGGGGAGCGGUAAAAUGCUAUAAUCCUCAAAAGACUACCUGUGGCGAAGGCGCCUAACUAGAACGGAUUCGACAGUGAGGGACGAAAGCCAGGGGAGCGAUCCGGAUUAGAUACCCCGGUAGUC
RNAcentral lists this ribosomal RNA (422 nucleotides) under uncultured archaeon. RNAcentral's name for it is "partial 16S ribosomal RNA". It matches the Rfam family "Archaeal small subunit ribosomal RNA", at positions 323 to 746 of the family's 1478-position model. The record is from RNAcentral.